UCGACGUCUUCCUAUAGCUAUAAAGUGAAAAAACUAUGAAUUACUAUCUUCUUCUAUUGGCCAAUUUUGUUUAGCGUGUUUUCGCCACAAGGUAUUCUCAUCUCUCAACACCUCAAGGAAGUCAACCCGUGCUCUAGUAAUCACCUCCUGGCUCGGAGGGGGAUUCCGAGUACGAAGAUCAUGUAAUUCAACUCUUUUCUCUAGUAUGUUCUGCCGAAAUUUGGGUUGCUCUGAUUUAGCCCACACUUGUAAUGCUGCAACACAUUUAUGUAGUCGAAACUCGACACUCUCAUCUGGAAAAUCUUUCCAUGUGUUAAUUACGCAUGGCGUCAUACCUUGCUUUUUUCUCCAUUGGUUCUCGAAUCAGAAUUGAU
Molecule: long non-coding RNA, 374 nt
Filed under: Linum usitatissimum (flax)
Lineage: Eukaryota; Viridiplantae; Streptophyta; Magnoliopsida; Malpighiales; Linaceae
Description: long non-coding RNA (LUSI_LNC004024)
Source: RNAcentral